Long non-coding RNA from Agrilus planipennis (emerald ash borer), 4390 nucleotides. RefSeq lists it as uncharacterized. The transcript has 3 exons. Lineage: Eukaryota; Metazoa; Arthropoda; Insecta; Coleoptera; Buprestidae. The record is from RefSeq and is a predicted model, not a curated record.
GUUGUUAUUGUUUGCAAUUAUUACCUGGUUUAAUUAUCAUCAAUCUACCUGACGGUUGGUCCGUCGCGUCGUCAGGUUUAUUAGACGACCGUGUCAGCUGGUUCGAUAGCCGGCGAAAUUUUAACAACAAUCAAGCCACAAUAUCAACCUUGCAUACGUGCAGACCCAAACGUAACACAAAAAGAGCGAUUUUAACGAAACAACAAAUUGUAUUCAGUUGGUAAACUACGAUCAUCCGUGACAAUAGUAUUUCUAGUUUAACAAAAGAUGCUAUUUUUGUGUUGUGUUGUGUUGUGGGGCUUUUAGUGACAAUUUAAAUGCAACAUGCACUCUGUUUAUGCAGUUUCUGUUGGCAAUUCCGUUGACGAAUCUUUGCCACGUGGAAAAUCCGCCGAAAAACGUGAUCGAGUAUUUUGUGAACAAAUUUUAUUUAUCACAGACGGCUAUCGCACUUGCGUCACCUUGCACUAUUUCCGUCAAAAUAAAAGAAUACCGCUAUGAACGCCCACGCUUACGUCAUGAAGAAUGAAUCAACGGCCAAGUUGUAAUCCUCAAUACUGAAAACAAUCCCGGAAUUGACUACAUAUAAGUAAUCCUGAAAUUCCGGGAUUAGAAACAAGGACAUGGAUUGAAUUCUUCACCGAAUGUUCAAAAAGAAUUUAGGUAUUAGAUACUUUAAAAUUAUCGAUUCGUUUAAAAUUACUUCAUGCAUACAUAAUCGUUUCAUUAUCUAUUAAAACUAGAACACUAAAUCAUUAAAUUCAAUACAUGCCCUUGAUGAAGAGAUAUAAAAUUCCGCAUGGUGCCAUUUUAAAAACAAUAAAUGUAACUGGGAUAUUUUUUAUAACAAAAUUGGUAAUUCAGUCUCCAUAAAACAGAAGAAAUGGACCAUGAAAACGUUAUCAACCGUCAUAAAACAUAAAAACGAUAAGACCUGGAUCGCGAUUUCGAACUUAUUGGAAUGUGAUUCGCACUAUCGAUCCUGCAUUCAGAUUAAAUUGUCUCGCCACACUUUACUAAAAUCCAGACAAUUCUGUCUUGACCUAAUAGAUUAUUUUCUCUAGAAAAUGGCGGACCACGAUCUAAUGUUGUCGAGAUGUAGUGUGUUAAAACAUAUUAAAUUAGUUCUCAUCAGGAAAUCAAGGGAAAUUUAAUGUUAAUUGCCUAAGUUCAUAGUGCCUGAUAAAAGGUCCUUACAAAGGGUACGUACUUGUCAAACUGGAUGUUAUACGACGAAGCUUUAAGGAUAAUUUUUCAAACAUAUUGUCAGUUACUACAAUGAACAAAAAACAUAUAUAUAUUUAAAAUAUAAGGAUAUGCUAUUGUCACUUACUUAAAAUAUACUUAUAAUGUGUAUCUACGUAUGUUCUCGAUAAAAGAACUUAAAAAAUUGUUUCACUCUUUCAGCUUAUAUAAUUGGUAAUUAUGGCGUUGUUUUCAAGUAUCCAUUCGUUCAAUACCGUUUUAGACUAAAAAUAUAUAAAUAAUUUUAGAAUAAAACACGUUGCUUAUUGUUACACAAUUUUACAUUACGACGCGACGAUAUAAAAUUUUAUUGUUAGAAACACUCGCAGACAGCCACAAUGAUUUGUCUGCUGGUGACACUUAUGAAUAUGUAAUUAUUUUUUCAAUUUUAUUCAGAAAACCUAUAUAGGUAAGGCAAAACGUUCACCCAACAUAGAAAUUGUAAAUUUAUUUAUCGACAAUAUCAUUGUCAAAAACAUUCAUUCAUUGAUUCUCUGAAAAUUGUCAAAAACAUUCGUAAAAGCCUAAUACCGCUUUUAAAAGCUUUAAAUUACAUUAACUGGACUCGCACGUAUGGAUUUAUUACUAUGAAAAUAUGACUGAAUACAGAUUUUCUUGCACCACAUCGCAUUUUUCAAAAGAUGAUUAAUGUAACAGAAUAACCUUAUUGGACACUACAUUCGCCAUUAGUGUAUACUAAUAUCGAGUUAAAAAUCGAACAUAAACCUUCUAUUACAUGCAAUUUCGGAAAAACACUAUGUGGUAGAGGAAAAUUCGUACAAAUACUUUCAGCAAUCUUUUCAUAUAAAUAAUAACGUAAAAUACGACCCCAAAAAUCUGUUAAGGAGUUUUUUCUGUUGAAAAGUUUUUGAGAGUUCGGUUAGUUUUUUUAGCGAACCAGGAGAUAAUUUGAGAUGGACACGGUUGAAAUUGUAUUUCCGUUAGUGUCGAUAAAUAACGGGUAGUUUCCAUGUUCGAUGAACGUUUUGCUUUACCUGUAUGUUGCAGUACAUGUUCACUGGCUCGUACUCUAAUAUUUUGCAAAGCAAUUGAUAGAAUUUAUACUGACAUAUGUAUAUAUAUCCUUUUCAGGCUUACACAACGUGAGUAAUAACGGAAUUCCGCGUUAAAAUUUGUGAAACAUGUGUCUCUAACCGUGUCAGAUAUUUAAUAAGCCGAUGAUUAAUUGCAGAUUGAGACGCUUUAUAGCGAACAUAAUGCUUAACAGACACAAUACAGGUACAUAGAAAGUACAUUUCAAAAGAAAAAAGAGAUCCAAAUCGUUUUUUAAUAUCUUCUUAAUUAGCAAUUUAACCAAAAUAAAUUGACUUGAGGAAGUAUUGAUAAUUUAAAGAUAUAAUAAAUGAAAAGGAAAUUGAAGUAAGUUUGUUUUAUUAAUGCGUUCUGUUAAUGUGUACGAAUAUUUUUCAAACAAUGGAAAAACAUGCAAAUCGUUUUGUUAUGGUUCGCGCCAAUUAGGAAGCCAUAAAACGUGCUAAUUGGAAUUUCUAUCAGGUGCCUAAUUAACAAUUACGAAGAUGCUGUGAAAUUCCAUAAUACUUAAAUGAGACUGAAAAAGUUUUUAAACCAGCUGAAUAAGAUCACAUAAAAUUUUCCGAAGACGCCCUAAUAACAAUAUCAUUCUAACAACAUUUUAGUAUUUCAUCAAGAGGGCCAAAAGAAACACGUGUGUCAAAGGCAUUGCAAAUAAAAUUUGCUCGACAUAUCAACUGCCAACUAGCGUCUAUUUUUGCAUUUGAAAAUAAUAGAUGUCAAGGACGGUCUAACCCGACGUAACAAGCGUAAUUAGAAAAUGUUUCGUUAACAUACGCACAUUGUAUGAUAACACCAAUUCAUACACUCAUACUUGCCCUAUAAGACAAUGCCUUAAACGAAGUCAUUAAAAAAGCUGCAGCUAAGAUACUGAUAGGUAUUUUUUAUCAGUAUUAGUGAUUAAAACUACUGGUUAAAAAUGUUUGUAAAUGUAAAGAACAGACAGUUAGAUAUUUACCAUACAAAACACUAAUAAGAAUAAUGGUAUUAACGACUCAAGCACUCGUUUGAACUGGUUUUCAUUACUAAUUAUUUAGACUUAAAAUAAAGAUGACCACCAAUAUAAUUGUUUUUAUCUCUACUUUUAUAAUAAUAUAAUAAGAUCACAGAUAUCUCUUUAAAACUGAAUCACGAAACCACAAACUUGAAUCCGAAGUGAAAUACUUCAUUGUUUCCACAGUUUUUGCAAAUAUUUGAUAAAAUUUUCAAUAUAUACAAACGAAGCUACAAGCUAGACAGUGCAUGGUAUGUAAUUCUUCAAAAGUUUUUUCUAAUGAAAAUGAAAUUUGCUGAUAAAAAACGCCUCUGUGUAAAAGUAAAUUAAAUACGAAAUUUAAACAUCGGAAUUUAACUGCUGAAUACAAUCUAUUUCUGCAGCACUAACGUCAUUUUGACUGACACAAGCCAGUGCCAAAAUCGAUUGUACAAUAUUCUUACGAGUACGGAAAUAUUGCAUUUUUAUCUCGGCCACAUCUUUCAAUCAAAUACAAAAUAGGCAACGACUAAGACUAGUCUUUUGGCGUAACAAAAUAAGUAAAAUAUUUCAUCAAGUAAACCUUAAGUCAAUCAAUUAUAAUAGUAAUUUGAUAAAGGAUUAAAUAAUUAAAUAUCACGUAAUGAAUGUAAUGACGAAUUAUGAAUAAAGAUGUAUUUAUUUUUAAUAAAGCAAUAAAUUUAAUUUUGUGACAUUAGUAUCGGUUCCCCUUCAAUAUUAAGAUAACCAAGGCGGGGGUUAUCAAUGCUAAUACAUAUGUAAUAAAAUCGCACAACGAGGUUUCAUACCUACGCAAAUUGCACUUCUUUAUCACAAUUAAAAGACAAUCUUUAUGAAGUGAUAAUCCAGUAUCAGACUAGAAGACGCAUUUGCAAAAUCUUAAUUAUUUUUAAAACAAGACAUUCAAGAAACCUUUGUUACUAAUCUAUCUGCUAUAAAGCACAAUUCUCAAAAUACAUAUUCCAUAUUCUUUCAAUUUCAGGACACUAUACACAAAUUCAUGAAAACAUUGGGAUAUAUGUACAAGACACACAUUAAUUGUCGCAAAGAACUUUGUCCAUUCUUUGCAAUUUUAAACAUUUUCCUUUACUGUUUUUC